Long non-coding RNA from Nematostella vectensis (starlet sea anemone), 1358 nucleotides. RefSeq lists it as uncharacterized. The transcript has 2 exons. Lineage: Eukaryota; Metazoa; Cnidaria; Anthozoa; Actiniaria; Edwardsiidae. The record is from RefSeq and is a predicted model, not a curated record.
AAGCUGGGCCUCACACUGCGCGAGAACUCAUUAGUACGAAAUUUGCAGAAGCCCUAUCUGUGAUUUUGAUAAGAAAAAUAACAAGUUAGGUUCCGCAUUGUAUUAAUGUUGGAAGUAGUAAUGGGAGCAUUUGCAUAUGAGAAAUAAACAAAGCAGAAUAGAAUAGCCGAUCCAGGACCGACUUACUCUCAUUAGAAGGCUAUAGUAAUAUAGGGCCCACGAUCUUCCGGUGCAAACAAAGAAUUUUUUUCUAGAAACCAAACUCACGUUUCUUAUAAAAUAUGAUACACGAGUCCCUUGCUUCUUGAGAGGUCAUCAUAUGGUCAAUACACAGUGGAAGGGGACAUGUAGGUAACCAGGAAGAGACAAGGCCAUUUCAACUGUAAAUUGAUCCUAAAAUGACUUGAAAACAAACUUACAGGUUUAUUGAGAAACAGUAACAAAAAAACAAACAAACAAAAUGGCUUGAGCAUCUCUACCCACUACUACCUCCCUCCCCCCCGUUAUCUAUCGUCAGCCCGUACCCAGGAUUUUUUUGGGGGAGGGGGGUAGGGAUUGAUUUUUCAGAUAAAAUUUUUAUGCCUUUGCAGUAUUUCCAAGGGACGUUUAUUUUCGAAUUAGGCUACAAAUAGUCUGUAUUAUGGAUUAAUGACACACCAGAGUGAUCUAGCUUAUGCUUUAUAGUUUUGUCUACAAAUAUGUUACAAUAUUUAAAAUGAGUUCAUUAAUGAAGUAAAACACACUACAGAGAAAAAAAAACUACAACCAUGAUAUAUGCUUUGUUAUGAUGAUGCUUUGUUUUUAUUACUAAGCACAUAUUCUUGUGUUGUUUAAAGCAAAUGGGAUCUGCUAUUGUUUGAGUCCUCCAAGGACUGGGCCCAAACAAUAGUCCGCGAGCUUUGUCAUUUAUCGUGUAGCAUGGUCUACGGAAACUGUGAAUUGCGUGAUAAAACAACAAAAUAACGGUUAAAGAUCAGUCAAUAAAACUUUCAGAAUAAAAAUGCGCAAAAAAUGUUAUUGUGUGCGCGCCACAAUUUCAGUGCGAAAAUAUCGCUAUGUCUAGGGUAAAUUUACAGAUCAAUCACUUACAUCCCCAUCCACCUUCCACUCCUCCGCUACCAACAGCUAGUCCUUAUCGUAAGAAAAGAAAUGAACAAAAGUAACGCCCUUUUUUUUCUUAAAUUUUGAGUCUGUUUUGUGCUUUAAAUUUUAUUGACCUUUAGUGAUUUCAAAUAAAAAUUAUAUAUGCCUGCCUACUUAAAAGACGCAUUAUGCAUAGGGAGUUUUUUGUAUCAGUUUUUUGCUAUACGAAAACGAUUUAAUUUGAUGUCAUUUUUAAAGCAGAAAUACAAUACAUG